RNAcentral lists this transfer RNA (77 nucleotides) under Deltaproteobacteria bacterium. RNAcentral describes it as "tRNA-Arg". It matches the Rfam family "tRNA". From Rfam's summary of the family: Transfer RNA (tRNA) molecules are approximately 80 nucleotides in length. Lineage: Bacteria; Pseudomonadati; Myxococcota; Myxococcia. The record is from RNAcentral.
GCGCCCGUAGCUCAGUUGGAUAGAGCGGUGGACUCCGGAUCCACAGGCCACAGGUUCGAAUCCUGCCGGGCGCACCA